AGAUUGUCUGUGUGCCACUGCUGCUACGACUACUAAGGGAUGCCAUCCUAUAGGUGCACCUGGAGGACGAACACCCGUUUGAGCCUACAACAGACACCCAACGAGUCCAGCGAUGACUUGCUGUAGCGCAUUAGGGAAUGCCAUCAAGAAACUGUAUUCGUGAAUAUUGCGGAAGUUCGUGAAAAUAACGGAAGGUUGAGGUAAGUUCUAAACGAUUCUUUUUUAAUCAAUUGUAGAUGGAAGUGAAAAAAUGAUAAUACUUUUUAUUCUGAACCUGUAGGAAGGAACUGAAUGUUAUUUGCACUCUAUAAGCUCUAAAUGAUGUCUUAUUUCUAAGAUUGUAGAUGAAAAUGAUAGUGUUGUUUGUUCUAAUCCUUCAGAAUGCACUUUUUGUUGAAUGGGUUGAUAAUGAGUGGUCUCAAGCUCUGAAAGAAGCACUUCGCAAGGAAGAUUGCACUAAGUUCUAAACAAUGCUUUAUUUCUAGAUUGUAGAUGAUACCGAAAAAAUGACAAUGCUUUUUAUUCUAAACCCUCGGGAAGGAACUGAAUAAUUUUUUUUUACUUCAUAAGCUCUAAGCUAUGUCUUAUUUUUUCGAGUGUAGAUUGUAGUGAAGAAAACGGUAAUGCCUUUUGUUCUAAUCCUUCAGAAUGCAUUUUUGUUGAGUGGGUUGAUGAUGAGUGGUCUCUAGCUCUAAAAGAUGCAUUAGUAAUGCUCUGGAAGAAGGUAGAUUUUGUUGACAAUGUGAGAGCUGACCUCCUACUUUGUUUGGUAAAUGAAAUGAACCCGACAUGGCAGUACUGUUUUGAUAGCCAACUAAUGGUUUCGUCUGUUGUAGAGUGACACUAGCAGUACUGAAGUAAACAAGCAAGCACAGGGGCUCUCCAUCUAGGAAACCAUUGCCGAAGAAAAGGGGGUGUGAUUCAAGCAAAUGGAUGCAUAAUUUAAUCGUAAGAUAAAAUUGAUGCUUGGCCAUGGCUUCAUCUCAGUCUGAAUGUUCUGCCAGAAGCUCGCCUCUGAAUCUGCUGGGCACAAGUGGCAGAAACUACGCAAGGAACUACCUUUUCAAUGAAAUUCCGAACUAGGUGAUGCCACAAAAUUUUCACUCCAGAAGGGCCUUCGGACCAGAUAACGGUGGUAAUGAACCCAUGUCCUGACUAUAAGAGCAUGCAUGAGCUUCCACACACCAAUGAGGCAAGAUAAUGCAUAUACAUGUAAAUAUCGAUUAGUGGACUGUAUGUGGUGAGGAUUUAUUCCUUUGGCAUAUUAGCAAUGCUUAUUUAUAAGGUGGUACGCCCUAUUCUUUUCCCCUUAAUUGUGAUAUAUCUAAUAUUUGAUUUGUCCAACAUGAAGCAAUAAGAAAUAUGUGUA
Long non-coding RNA from Lolium rigidum, 1369 nucleotides. RefSeq lists it as uncharacterized. The transcript is spliced from 4 exons. Lineage: Eukaryota; Viridiplantae; Streptophyta; Magnoliopsida; Poales; Poaceae. The record is from RefSeq and is a predicted model, not a curated record.